CUUCAAGAAUUAAUUCAAGAUAUGUUUAAGGUCUGGCAAGAUUCUCAGCAAGGAACUCUUACUGGUGGCAUGAUAAAGGAGCUACUUAUUUCCUUCAAAAAGGCUACUAGAUAAAAGCCUCAACGGAUUAUAUUCUACAGCCAUGCAAACAUUCAAAUAACUCAUCUCACAACUAAUACCUUUUGUAUGAUGUACUUAUUCAGGUUGUUGAUCUCCUAGUGCCUUAUCAAAGGGGUAGAAAGAUUGGACUUUUUGAUGGAGCUGGUACGGGGAAGACUAGAUUUAUUAUGGAACUAAUGAUCAACAAUAUUGGA
Zingiber officinale is the source of this 314-nucleotide long non-coding RNA. RefSeq lists it as uncharacterized. The record is from RefSeq and is a predicted model, not a curated record. The transcript is spliced from 4 exons. NCBI's taxonomy places the organism in Eukaryota, Viridiplantae, Streptophyta, Magnoliopsida, Zingiberales, Zingiberaceae.